Molecule: unclassified non-coding RNA, 201 nt
Filed under: uncultured fungus
Lineage: Eukaryota; Fungi
Description: partial contains 18S rRNA, ITS1, 5.8S rRNA
Source: RNAcentral
UGCGGAAGGAUCAUUAGUGAAUAUAGGACGUCCAACUUAACUUGGAGUCCGAACUCUCACUUUCUAACCCUGUGCACUUGUUUGGGAUAGUAACUCUCGCAAGAGAGCGAACUCCUAUUCACUUACAAACACAAAGUCUAUGAGUGUAUUAAAUUUUAUAACAAAAUAAAACUUUCAACAACGGAUCUCUUGGCUCUCGCA